RNAcentral lists this ribosomal RNA (172 nucleotides) under uncultured bacterium. Its description in RNAcentral is "partial 16S ribosomal RNA". The record is from RNAcentral.
CACGAAGUUAGCCGAUCCUUAUUCUUACGGUACAAUCAGCCUCGGACGCAUCCAAGGGUUUUUUCCCGUAUAAAAGAAGUUUACAACGCAUAGCGCCGUCAUCCUUCACGCGGCAUGGCUGGAUCAGUCUUGCGACCAUUGUCCAAUAUUCCUUACUGCUGCCUCCCGUAGG